AUGUUAAACGUGGAAAAGCACACUUCAGUUUCCCUUCUGAUAACACUCAGGCACGGCAGCUCUCGUCCUUUGCUCUCAAAUAGAGAAUGAAUCCCUCAACAUUUCUUGGAUAAGCACUUCCCAAAUCAGGACAAGCCAGAUUUUCUACUUUCAUCUUUACUGCUGGAGGUUCCUGAUUGCGAUCAAGGUUGGAGAGAAUUUAUCCAGGACGGUUGAGUUCCCAAGCUGUACUGAAGUCCUCUGUGUCAAAGAGGUUGUAGAUCUGAUGGAGAAUCUGUUGGCAGAAACAGGUCGCUUGUGUCUCCUGGCUUUUGAUGACAGCACUUCUUUUCUGUGGAAAUGUGAAGUCCAUCCUGGCAUUCCGUCCUGCCAAAGAGGGGUUUUUAAUGAUUAAAAUGCAUGUAGAUUUCCUUGUUUUCCCGGCCCUGUUCACAGGCCAGGGGCAGCCCAGCGAGCAGGCUUGCCCUGGGCAGGGCAUCUGCAGCACCAGGGACAGAGACCUGGGCAUGGAGAAUUUGAGCGAUACCCGGGACGGCCGCGAGGGGGCGGCGGCCGGCAGAGGGCGCCCGCGCUCACCUGUUCUGGCCGCUCGCGCCGGGCGGGGAGUGGAAUCCUCGGCCCCGCCCCAGGCGCGGCGGCCACAGUUUGAUUCUCCGGGACCUGCCGCCGCGGAGGCGCCGCCGCCCCCUGGGGCCGAGCUGGCCCGCCUGGAAGACUCAAGAUGUAACAAGAAUGCCCAUGACUGGGGAUGCCUUUGCCAGUUAUGGACAAUGC
RNAcentral lists this long non-coding RNA (774 nucleotides) under Dasypus novemcinctus (nine-banded armadillo). Its description in RNAcentral is "lncRNA (ENSDNOG00000050018.1)". The record is from RNAcentral. Lineage: Eukaryota; Metazoa; Chordata; Mammalia; Cingulata; Dasypodidae.